This 253-nucleotide ribosomal RNA is filed under the name uncultured bacterium. RNAcentral describes it as "partial 16S ribosomal RNA". It matches the Rfam family "Bacterial small subunit ribosomal RNA", at positions 524 to 776 of the family's 1533-position model. The record is from RNAcentral.
UACGUAGGCAGCAAUCGUUGUUCGGAAUUACUGGGCGUAAAGAGCGUGUAGGCGGUGUUCUAAGUUUGUCGUGAAAUCUCCCGGCUUAACUGGGAGGGUGCGGCGAAAACUGGAAUGCUAGAGGAUGGGAGAGGUAAGCGGAAUUCCUGGUGUAGCGGUGAAAUGCGUAGAUAUCAGGAGGAACACCUGUGGUGUAGACAGCUUACUGGACCAUUUCUGACGCUGAGACACGAAAGCGUGGGUAGCAAACAGG